GACGAACGCGGCGGCGUGCUUAACACAUGCAAGUCGAACGGAGCGAAUGAAAGCUUGCUUUUAUAAGCUUAGUGGCAAACGGGUGAGUAACACGUAGGCAACCUGCCGACAGGAUGGGGACAACAUUCCGAAAGGAAUGCUAAUACCGAAUGAAGUCAGAGAAGGGCAUCCUUUUCUGAUGAAAGAUGGCCUCUAUAUAUAAGCUAUCACCUGUUGAUGGGCCUGCGUCUGAUUAGCUGGUAGGUGAGGUAACGGCUCACCUAGGCGACGAUCAGUAGCCGGUCUGAGAGGAUGAACGGCCACAUUGGGACUGAGACACGGCCCAGACUCCUACAGGAGGCAGCAGUGGGGAAUCUUCCGCAAUGGGCGCAGGCCUGACGGAGCAACGCCGCGUGAGUGAAGAAGGUCUUCGGAUCGUAAAGCUCUGUUGAUGGGGACGAACGUGCCUAAUGCGAAUAGUAUUAGGUAAUGACGGACCC
RNAcentral lists this ribosomal RNA (479 nucleotides) under Selenomonas sp. oral taxon 140. RNAcentral describes it as "bacterial SSU rRNA". It matches the Rfam family "Bacterial small subunit ribosomal RNA", at positions 28 to 479 of the family's 1533-position model. The record is from RNAcentral. Lineage: Bacteria; Bacillati; Bacillota; Negativicutes; Selenomonadales; Selenomonadaceae.